CAGCCGCCGCGGUAAUACGUAGGGUGCGAGUGUUAAUCGGAAUUACUGGGCGUAAAGCGUGCGCAGGCGGUUAUAUAAGACAGAUGUGAAAUCCCCGGGCUCAACCUGGGACCUGCAUUUGUGACUGUAUAGCUAGAGUACGGUAGAGGGGGAUGGAAUUCCGCGUGUAGCAGUGAAAUGCGUAGAUAUGCGGAGGAACACCGAUGGCGAAGGCAAUCCCCUGGACCUGUACUGACGCUCAUGCACGAAAGCGUGGGGAGCAAACAGGAUUAGAUACCCCGGUAGUCCUGUCUCUUAUACA
This 301-nucleotide ribosomal RNA is filed under the name uncultured bacterium. Its description in RNAcentral is "partial 16S ribosomal RNA". It matches the Rfam family "Bacterial small subunit ribosomal RNA", at positions 509 to 809 of the family's 1533-position model. The record is from RNAcentral.